RNAcentral lists this ribosomal RNA (79 nucleotides) under Jaculus jaculus (lesser Egyptian jerboa). Lineage: Eukaryota; Metazoa; Chordata; Mammalia; Rodentia; Dipodidae. The record is from RNAcentral.
GUCUAUGGCCACACCACCCUGAACGCGCCCAGUCUCAUCUGGUCUUGGAAGCUAAGCAGGGUCGGGCCUGGUCGGGACU